This 368-nucleotide ribosomal RNA is filed under the name uncultured sulfate-reducing bacterium. RNAcentral's name for it is "bacterial SSU rRNA". It matches the Rfam family "Bacterial small subunit ribosomal RNA", at positions 451 to 819 of the family's 1533-position model. The record is from RNAcentral.
UUAAUACCACCAGAUUUGAGACGGUACCUGCAGAAGAAGCUCCGGCUAACUCCGUGCCAGCAGCCGCGGUAAUACGGGGGGAGCAAGCGUUGUUCGGAUUUACUGGGCGUAAAGGGCGUCUAGGCGGAGCAGUCAGUCAGGUGUGAAAUCCCACGGCUCAACCGUGGAAUUGCACUUGAUACUGCUGUUCUUGAGUUCGGGAGAGGGAAGCGGAAUUCCUGGUGUAGCGGUGGAAUGCGUAGAUAUCAGGAAGAACACCGGUGGCGAAGGCGGCUUCCUGGCCCGUAACUGACGCUAAAGCGCGAAAGUGUGGGGAGCAAACAGGAUUAGAUACCCUGGUAGUCCACACCGUAAACGAUGGACACUAG